This 484-nucleotide ribosomal RNA is filed under the name uncultured bacterium. RNAcentral's name for it is "partial 16S ribosomal RNA". It matches the Rfam family "Bacterial small subunit ribosomal RNA", at positions 30 to 507 of the family's 1533-position model. The record is from RNAcentral.
AUUGAACGCUAGCGGGAUGCUUUACACAUGCAAGUCGAACGGCAGCGCGGACUUCGGUCUGGCGGCGAGUGGCGAACGGGUGAGUAAUGUAUCGGAACGUGCCCAGUAGCGGGGGAUAACUACGCGAAAGCGUAGCUAAUACCGCAUACGCCCUACGGGGGAAAGCAGUGGAUCGUAAGACCUUGCACUAUUGGAGCGGCCGAUAUCGGAUUAGCUAGUUGGUGAGGUAACGGCUCACCAAGGCGACGAUCCGUAGCUGGUUUGAGAGGACGACCAGCCACACUAGGACUGAGACACGGCCCAGACUCCUUCGGGAGGCAGCAGUGGGGAAUUUUGGACAAUGGGGGCAACCCUGAUCCAGCCAUCCCGCGUGUGCGAUGAAGGCCUUCGGGUUGUAAAGCACUUUUGGCAGGAAAGAAACGUCGCGGGCUAAUACCCCGUGGAACUGACGGUACCUGCAGAAUAAGCACCGGCUAACUACGUG